RNAcentral lists this ribosomal RNA (254 nucleotides) under uncultured bacterium. RNAcentral describes it as "partial 16S ribosomal RNA". It matches the Rfam family "Bacterial small subunit ribosomal RNA", at positions 524 to 776 of the family's 1533-position model. The record is from RNAcentral.
UACGGGGGGAGCAAGCGUUGUUCGGAUUUACUGGGCGUAAAGCGUGCGCAGGCGGUCUGUUAAGACCGAUGUGAAAUCCCCGGGCUUAACCUGGGAACUGCAUUGGUGACUGGCAGGCUUUGAGUGUGGCAGAGGGAGGUAGAAUUCCACGUGUAGCAGUGAAAUGCGUAGAGAUGUGGAGGAAUACCGAUGGCGAAGGCAGCCUCCUGGGCCAACACUGACGCUCAUGCACGAAAGCGUGGGGAGCAAACAGG